AUUGAACGCUGGCGGAAUGCUUUACACAUGCAAGUCGAACGGCAGCACGGACUUCGGUCUGGUGGCGAGUGGCGAACGGGUGAGUAAUGUAUCGGAACGUGCCCAGUCGUGGGGGAUAACGUAGUGAAAAUUACGCUAAUACCGCAUACGAUCUAUGGAUGAAAGCGGGGGAUCGCAAGACCUCGCGCGAUUGGAGCGGCCGAUAUCAGAUUAGGUAGUUGGUGGGGUAAAGGCCCACCAAGCAAACGAUCUGUAGCGGGUCUGAGAGGACGACCAGCCACACUGGAACUGAGACACGGUCCAGACUCCGACGGGAGGCAGCAGUGGGGAACUUUGGACAAUGGGCGAAAGCCUGAUCCAGCCAUUCCGCGUGCAGGAUGAAGGCCCUCGGGUUGUAAACUGCUUUUGUACAGAACGAAAAGGUUUCUACUAAUACUAGGAGCUCAUGACGGUACUGUAAGAAUAAGCACCGGCUAACUACGUGCCAGCCGCCGCAGUAA
Molecule: ribosomal RNA, 500 nt
Filed under: uncultured bacterium
Lineage: Bacteria
Description: partial 16S ribosomal RNA
Rfam family: Bacterial small subunit ribosomal RNA
Source: RNAcentral